UUUCUCUCUCUCUCUCAAAAUAAAUAAACAUAAUUUAUAAAAUUAAAAAAAUUAGAAGAUCAAAUGGUUAAAGAUCAUAUAGACGCUGAUGACGAAGAGUGAAUUUUAUUUUUCUGGGUCAGUCUUCAGGUUGAGUUUUUUCUUUGUUAAGGUAAAAAAUACAUAUUAAGAAGUAAUAAAUACCUAAUUAAAAAGUUCAGAAAGCAAGGAUCAGUUGUGCUUAGGUCUCAAUUUAUUUAUUUAUUUAUUUUUUACCACGACUCUGUUCUGUAUUUCUCAGAAUGAUGCGCUUGAGCUGAGUUGGCAUCUUCCAUGGUCAAGAGCUCUAUAGUUCCCUUUCUGUAAUAGGAGGAGAGGAAUUAAUAAAGGACACACUUGAGCUGAUUUAAGGAUUCAACCACAGUCACUAUGUUUAUGUUUGCAUCUCCAUGUUAGGAAUGGAGCUCAAUGUGAGUAAUAGUCAAAAUUCUUGUCUUGGGUUAAGUGGUUCAAAGGCCAACCAUGCCAAGGUGCAAUAUCGGAUUGAUAUGAAACAUUAAAAUGAUUAAUCCAUAAAGACACAAACACUAAGUUCAGUUAAUCGAAAGGAUUUAGUCUGUUUAUAUAUGAUACUAUUGAAUGUUAGGGAUAUUAAGGAUCUUAUUUUUUGGCAUGUUUAUGUAUAUUUCUUCAUGAAUGAAUUAGUCAAAAAAGAUAUGUUGAUGGGGGUGGACCAAAAGCCAGCCGGUCAUGGACCAAUGAUGUAACUGUUGGUGGAUGAGUCCUGGAUGAUGAAUAAUGAGUGUGGAACACUGAGGCCAACACAAAAGGAAUCUAGUCUCUUCCCCAUAUUUUCAGUCAUACUAUAGGCAGAAGUCAAGACUAUACAAUAAUUUCUUGUUCAGUAAUCUCUGUGUUCAUUAAUUAUAAAAACGAUAACUAUGAAAGAAUCAAUGGCAGAAUAAAUUAGCAAAUGUAUAAAUGAAUAAAGAUGAAGAGGGUGAAGCAUUGUUCAUUAUGAAAAUAUAUAUUCAGGAAAAUGAAUAUUAAUGUACACUGGAAUGGAUGAAAAUGGACUAACUGUAUUACAUCUUUGAGUAAGUGUGACAUGGAUGGUGAUUAGUAGUUAGUAUCACCCUCAGUCAGCUGUGGAUUUGAUGUUUAUUGUGUUGAGAGAAAAAUAAAUAAAUUUUGCUCUAAAUUAAUAAA
This is a long non-coding RNA of Suricata suricatta (meerkat), 1188 nucleotides long. RefSeq lists it as uncharacterized. The record is from RefSeq and is a predicted model, not a curated record. The transcript has 2 exons. Lineage: Eukaryota; Metazoa; Chordata; Mammalia; Carnivora; Herpestidae.